This is a long non-coding RNA of Mercenaria mercenaria, 6231 nucleotides long. RefSeq lists it as uncharacterized. NCBI's taxonomy places the organism in Eukaryota, Metazoa, Mollusca, Bivalvia, Venerida, Veneridae. The transcript is spliced from 3 exons. The record is from RefSeq and is a predicted model, not a curated record.
GUUUGUGUUAUAACUUUCGAUGCGCCUUAGGGUAUUGCGCUGUUGCGUAAGCGCUGUCAUUCGGAUUGCAACAAGGGCAUACAGAUACAUCAUAAUUAGUAAGAUGUCGAGACCAGACAUAGGGGAGUACCGUCCACACCAGUAUGAGACAGCAGGAGAAAGAAGUGCCAGACUUGCGAAAGAAAACCCAAUGAUGACAAUAGGUGUGGCUGGGGCGUUAGGAAUUGUGUUAUACAGAAUUUUCAAUAUAAAAAACAGAAACAAAACCCAAAGAUUUGCAAACUAUGUAGUAUAUACAAGAAUGUACGCACAAGGUUUGCUUGUGGCAUGUUUCGGAUAUGGCAUAGUGGUGAAUGUUUUCAGUCACUAUCGUAAAAAAUGGUUUGGUUCACGGGAGGGAACAGCAACAGCAGAAGCAAAGAGCAUAGAAGAAAAAUGAUGCGUGUUUUAAAAUUGUUUUAUUUUAGUGGUACAGUAACUCUAGAUUUCAAGUAAGAUGUUGAUUAUAGUAGUGCAGUAAGGAUCUUAAAAGAUCUGAUAAUGUAUGUACACAGUCUUGCCAGAAAUUGUUUCCUCUGGCCAUCAGAACUUUAUAUUUGGCUAUCAAAACUUCCAUUUGGCCAUCAAAACUUUCAUUUGGCUAUCAAAAGACGGCAUGUUUUAUUGAAUAAUCUAAAGACUUUUCAGAUAUUAAAAUAUUGUAGUGAUGCACUUGGAAAAAAGGUGGACACUUUUUUUUAACAUCCAAUAAUCAGGUCAUAUUUUCAAUACUCAGUAAGAAUGUUCAUCAUUCAGAUAUUUGUCAAUGAAAUGAAUGAAUACAAUACAACAUUUAAUUUCAUAGUUUUUGUCAAAAUGGCUAUUUCUUGGUGAUGUACACAAAAUAAAUGAAAAUUUUACUUGUUUGUUGGAACUUAUUUACUGGUAAGUGGGUUGGCUCAGCCAAGAAAUAAGAAAAAUUAGUCCCCCUUUUAGUGUAAAAUUAUUUCAUAGUAUGUAAUGCAUACAUGUGCAAAUUUUUGAAUCCAGAGUUUAUUGAAGAACUGAGAAUACACACUACUCUGAAGUCUGAACAGAUUUUAAGUUCUAUUUUAGUGUUUAAUGCACAAAUUAAGCACACAAUGUCAUGAAUAUGUAGAGUGUAGGUUCCCUUUCAUAUGAUAUGAGAUCGUUUAUUUUUGUAGGGGACUAAUUUUGUAUCAGUCCACUUCAAAUUAAAUCCUGACAAAUAAUGUGAUACUUAUUUUUUAUCUUUUUAUUUUAUCUUUGAAUUUUGAAACCCAUCAGUUAUUGUCCCUACAAAUUAAAAUUGUUGUAUUUGUAAAAAAUGUAUACCCACAGAAUUCAUUGUAAUGAAAUGAUCAAUUAAUAUAUGGAAUAAAUCUUUUGUUGACUCAGCAUUCUUGUUUAGGUGCCUGGAUAGGAACUUAAGUUUUACAUAAAGUGGUGAAAUAAUAUUUGGGACAAAGUUAAGUGAGAGAGAUCAAAAAUGGAAGCUGAGAGAGUGAGAUAUUCAUUAAUUUAGAUAUGUACAGUACCUGUUUUCUUUGUAUCUUAUAAUAAGUUGUAUUAUGCUAAAUUACAUUAAACUGAUUACUUUGUGUAUAAAUUUUUAACUUAACAAGGUCAUCAGAUACACAGCUGGACCUGUGUUUGGGAAAAGACAAAGAAAUGGAAAUAUUUAAUAUAUGUUUUCUGCUAUAUACCUGUUGUUUUCCUUCUUUAUACAAACAAUGUAUAUGCUGGUAUCAUGCCUAUCAAAUGGCUUCCAGUACAACGUAUCAGAAAAGUAAUGAGAGAAUUGCUGCAUGACAGUUUUCUUUAAAGCUUUGCCCACUAGCCAGUGUUAGCACACAUAUAAGGAAACAAGAUAUUAUAAUAAAGAUCCUCAUUUAGUAAUUUGCUUCAACUUUUAAAUAGGUAUUCCUCAUCAUCACCCAGAUCAUAUCUCACAAGAGCCAUGACUGUUGUUACGCUGAUAUUUUAUGAAUUAUCCCCUACUUUUAUGUAGAAUUUCAGGUUAAAACUUUUAUGAACUUCCACUCAGUCUUGGUUUUAACUAAAUCGAUUUUUGUCACACACAUCAUGUGAGACAAGGUCCAGAACUCUUGCUGCUCUAUUUCAUGAAUUGCCCACUUGUUGCUUAGAAUUUUAGGUUAAUUUUGAUGCAUUUUCACUAUAUGUUAUAUGAUUUAAUUCAAAGGUUAAUUAGUUGUUCCAAAUCAUCAGCAUCAUUUGACGCAAGGGCCAUAAUUCUGGAACCAAUAUUUUAUUAAUUAUCCCCCUUUUUACUAAAAUUUCAGGUUAAAAAUUUGAUGCACUUUUGCUAUAUCUCUGUUAUUACCAAACAGAUUUUUAGCCCACCAUCCAGAUGGUGGGCUAUUCAAAUCACUCUGCGUCCGUGGUCCGUCAUCCGUCCGUAUGUUAACAAUUUCUCGUUAUCGGAUCUCCUCAGAAACUACGGGAGGGAUUUUGAUCAAACUUUGUCAGAAUGGUGUAUUGGUACCCUAGUUGUGUCCCUCUGAAAAUCAGACUGGUUCAACAAUUUUUGAGUGUGUUAUGGCCUUUUGUUAGCUCAGCUGUCACAAAGUGACAAGCUGAGCUUUUGUGAUCGCAUGGCGUCCGUCGUGCGUGCGUGCGUAAACUUUUGCUUGUGACCACUCUAGAGGUCACAUUUUUCAUGGGAUUUUUAUGAAAGUUGGUCAGAAUGUUCAUCUUGAUGAUAUCUAGGUCAAGUUCGAAACUGGGUCACGUGCGGUCAAAAACUAGGUCAGUAGGUAUUAAAAUAGAAAAACCUUGUGACCUCUCUAGAGGCCAUAUUUCUCAAUGGAUCUUCAUGAAAAUUGGUCAGAAUGUUCAACUUGAUGAUAUCUAGGUCAAGUUCGAAAUUUGGUCACGUGCAGUUAAAAAGUAGGUCAGUGGGUUUAAAAAUAGAAAAACUUUGUGACCUCUCUAGAGGUCAUAUUUUUCAUGGGAUCUUUAUGAAAAUUAGUCAGAAUGUUCACCUUGAUGAUAUCUAGGUCAAGUUCGAAACUGGGUCACGUGCGGUCAAUAACUAGGUCAGUAGGUCGAAAAAUAGAAAAAACCUUGUGACCUGUUUAGAGACCAUAUUCUUCAUGAGAUCUUCAUGAAAAUUGAUGAGAAUGUUCACCUUGAUGAUAUCUAGGUCAAGUUCAAAAGUGGGUCACGUGCCUUAAAAAACUAGGUCAUUAGGUCAAAUAAUAGAAAAAUCUUGUGACCUCUCUAGAGGUCAUAUUUUACAAUGGAUCUUCAUGAAAAUUGGUCAGAAUUUUUUAUCUUGAUGAUAUCUAGGUCACAUAUGCUCAAAAACUAGGUCACUAUGUCAAUAAUAGAAAUAACGACAUCAUACUCAGUUCAACACUGGGUCAUGUGGGGAUAGGUGAGCGUUCAGGAUCAUCAUGGUCCUCUUGUUUAUUUUAAUUUCUGAUAUAAUUUUAUACAGUGGCCCUCCAAGUAGUUAAUUAGCUUUUUAUGGCCUUGCCUGUAGAAGGGUCAUAAAGUCUGCAGACACUAAUGAGAUAAUGAUUCAAGUUGUUCAUUAUUUUCCUAUUACACCUCAGCAGUGAAUGGACUACCCUAACAGAUUGAUGAUUAAUUUUAGUACUCAAAUUUUUGGUUUAAUUAUUAGUUACAAUAUAAGUAAUUAUAUGUGCAUUCUUUCCUGUUUGGCACCAUAUAACCUAAACUGUGUUGGUGCGCCGUAAAACCCAAAUAAAAUAAAUAAAUAAAUAAAUUCUUUGUAUCAUAAUAAGAAAAAAAUAAUAAUUGCAUAUAACUCAUUAAUGGUGUCAUCUCUCUUGUUUAGGGUAUGGUUUUAAUUAUUAGUUAUAAUUAUUAGUUACCGGUACCUACUUUAAGGAUUUUGAACUAGUCUUGAAAUUUGGAACAUUCAAAAAUGACUCAGUGAUGGGUGCCAAGAUCACUCUGAUCUCUUGUAUUCAGAUGUAAAAGAGUUGUUUCACAUUACCCACAUCAUUUGACACUAGUGUCAUAACUCUGGCACCAAUAUUUCAUGAAUUAUGCUCUAUUCUUGUACAAAAUUCGAGGGAUAUAUACAUUGUAGAAGUCCUAUUAUGGUUGUUCUGUUGGGUAGUUGUUUGUCCAUUGAAAAAACAUUAACUAUUUCAAAAAUUUAAGAGGGCUUAUGAAUUAAACCAAUUAAAUGACAUACAUAUAUUUCAAAAUCAUCUUGUUGUUUUCAAAACCACCAUGAUCAUUAAAGUUUGUGUACAACUUUAAGAAGGAUUCCGAUAAAAUUCCCUGCCCUUUCUUUUCUUCUCUUACUUGAAUUCAUCUUGUGAUUGUAGAAACUUGACACAUGAAAUGUUUUGUGCCCUGUGACAAAGCGGAUUUGCUGGACUGUAAUCCAACAGAAUAAAUUUUUUAUUUUAAAACCAUGCAUGCAGUUAUUUUUAACAUUAAAUAACUAGAUCUAACUAAAACAUUGAUGUACAAAUCAUCCCUAGAAAAUUUAAGCUUAGGCCUCACCAAAUUAGAAAGUUGUUCAUCGGAUUUGCCGCUCAUAUAUUUUCAGAAACACAAAAAAAAUAUUUUUUUUUUUUUGGCUUGCGCUCGCCCCAUUGAAAAAAAUCAAUCCAAACUUUUUUGCUGCGCUACUUUUUACGGACGUAAAAGUGUAUAAAUGCUUAUACUUCCAGUCCCAGAUUGUUCUCAAAUGAAUUUUAAUCAAAAUAAAUACAUACUACGCACACAUCGUCUAUAAUAAAUCAUAAUACUUAUAUCUAGUUACAUUAAAGUUAUUUCCCCUUUACUGUAUGCAGUUACGCCAUUUUCUUCAAAUGUUUACCAAAUUACAUACUACAAAAAAUCGAUUUAUUUCAUUGAAACUGGACGAAGAAAAACAUACUAAUUUGUUUGAUAACAUCAAUCUACAUUAUUUUGGUAAGGGUAAAUACUUAUUGAUGCAUGUCACUUAUCUGUUUUCUGUUUUUUUCCUGUCCAAAUGAUCAGCAUUUGCAUACGAAAGUUGGUGGGGUAAGGAAUUUACAUUACGAGUUGUUUUCAGGACAGUUUUGAUUUUCAAAUUUUCCAAUCAUUUAGUAGACUAACGUUAAUGCACGUUAAUCUCCAUUUCAGACUUUAAUUGAGACUUUGUUUCAACAAAUUUAAUAUGUUAUGAAAGUUUAAAGUUAGAAAAAAGAGCUGUACAUAAGACAUCUUGCUCGACUUUUCUAAAUCAGAGCUUUGCCAGUAAAAGGGACAUAAUAGUCAGAAGCUAUUAAAGUACAGAGCUAUUGGUCAUUAUAUAAAACUUAAUUAAAAAUAUUCUAUGUUAAAAAGGGGCGUAACUCUGUCUAGAUUCAGACUUAAGAGUAUUGUUGCUCCUGGUGUAGACUUUGACAGUAAAUAACUGUUCUAAGUUUAAAAUCAGAAGCUUUAAUAGAUCUAGCAACACUCACAUAGAUAUUUGAUGUAUCAAAAACUUUGUAAAGUCAGCUAAGAAUGCUACAUUUUCAUAGCAGUAAAUAUUCGAUUCGAUAUUUGAUUACAGUGUACUGUAUGACAAUGUUAUUACCUUUUUUCACGAGUUCGCGUUGUUGUGCGUCUGCGGGUUAGAUUUUCUCAAUCCCUGGGGACUUACUUUUUAAUUUAAAAGGGCUAUACAUUCUAUUUUAAGGUUUUUAUUAGUCAGUCGAGAGCCAAAUGAAGACAAAUAUAUUUCUUCGCUCUUCGCUCGCUCCUGAUUUUCUCAAAAACCAAAAAAAAUAUUUAAAUUAUUUUUUCGCUCGCUGCCUCAAAUUUUUUAGAAAAAAAUCCGAUGAACAACUUAUCAAUUUGGUGUGGCCUUACUGCCCAAAGAAUGGAUUGAUUUGACACUAGAUACUGCAAUACAGGUAUGAGCUAAUUAUUUACUAAACUUUGUGUUGGCGUUACAAAAAUUGCAUGUGAUAUUUAUAUUUUGGUAGCUUGCAUAUCAAAAACCUGCUUACCAGUACUCUAGUUUGCACAAAAUUUAUGAGACGUGUUGUAAACUUCAGCUAAGCCUCAGCAUUGUGGUAUACAUUGUAACUGUGAAGUAGCUAGCAAAUAUGUUUAUCUGUAUUCAUAUUUUUGUUCAAAACCUAAUUUCACUUUGUCAUUGUGUUGCUUGUUUUGACUCUCUUCCUUAAUAUAUUAAUUUUGUUUAGUAUCUGUGAUAUUGUAAUGAUAAUUUGAUUUUAAGGAAUAAAGUUUUCUGUUGUACGGUCA